Molecule: ribosomal RNA, 1006 nt
Filed under: uncultured bacterium
Lineage: Bacteria
Description: bacterial SSU rRNA
Rfam family: Bacterial small subunit ribosomal RNA
Source: RNAcentral
UCUACGGAGGCAGCAGUGGGGAUAUUGCACAAUGGGCGCAGCUGAUGCAGCGACGCGCGUGAGGGAUGACGGCUUCGGGUUUGUAAACUCUUUCAGUAGGGAAGAAGCCUUCGGGUGACGGUACCUGCAGAAGAAGCGCCGGCUAACUACGUGCCAGCAGCCGCGGUAAUACGUAGGGCGCGAGCGUUAUCCGGAAUUAUUGGGCGUAAAGAGCUCGUAGGCGGUUUGUCGCGUCUGCUGUGAAAGCCCGGGGCUUAACUCCGGGUGUGCAGUGGGUACGGGCAGACUAGAGUGCAGUAGGGGAGACUGGAAUUCCUGGUGUAGCGGUGAAAUGCGCAGAUAUCAGGAGGAACACCGAUGGCGAAGGCAGGUCUCUGGGCUGUUACUGACGCUGAGGAGCGAAAGCAUGGGGAGCGAACAGGAUUAGAUACCCUGGUAGUCCAUGCCGUAAACGUUGGGCACUAGGUGUGGGGGACAUUCCACGUUUUCCGCGCCGUAGCUAACGCAUUAAGUGCCCCGCCUGGGGAGUACGGCCGCAAGGCUAAAACUCAAAGGAAUUGACGGGGGCCCGCACAAGCGGCGGAGCAUGCGGAUUAAUUCGAUGCAACGCGAAGAACCUUACCAAGGCUUGACAUGUGCCAGACCGCCAUAGAGAUAUGGUUUCCCUUUUGGGCUGGUUCACAGGUGGUGCAUGGUUGUCGUCAGCUCGUGUCGUGAGAUGUUGGGUUAAGUCCCGCAACGAGCGCAACCCUCGUUCCAUGUUGCCAGCGGGUUAUGCCGGGGACUCAUGGGAGACUGCCGGGGUCAACUCGGAGGAAGGUGGGGACGACGUCAAAUCAUCAUGCCCCUUAUGUCUUGGGCUUCACGCAUGCUACAAUGGCCGGUACAAUGGGUUGCGAUACUGUGAGGUUGAGCUAAUCCCAAAAAGCCGGUCUCAGUUCGGAUUGGGGUCUGCAACUCGACCCCAUGAAGUCGGAGUCGCUAGUAAUCGCAGAUCAGCACGUGC